Molecule: ribosomal RNA, 262 nt
Filed under: uncultured bacterium
Lineage: Bacteria
Description: partial 16S ribosomal RNA
Rfam family: Bacterial small subunit ribosomal RNA
Source: RNAcentral
GCUUUCCUACGGGGCGGCAGCAGUAGGGAAUAUUGCUCAAUGGGGGAAACCCUGAAGCAGCAACGCCGCGUGGAGGAUGAAGGUUUUCGGAUUGUAAACUCCUUUUGUUAGAGAAGAUAAUGACGGUAUCUAACGAAUAAGCACCGGCUAACUCCGUGCCAGCAGCCGCGGUAAUACGGAGGGUGCAAGCGUUACUCGGAAUCACUUGGCGUAAAGAGCGCGUAGGCGGGAUAGCAAGUCAGAUGUGAAAUCCUCUGGCUUA